This 497-nucleotide ribosomal RNA is filed under the name uncultured bacterium. Its description in RNAcentral is "partial 16S ribosomal RNA". It matches the Rfam family "Bacterial small subunit ribosomal RNA", at positions 28 to 507 of the family's 1533-position model. The record is from RNAcentral.
GACGAACGCUGGCGGCGUGCCUAGUACAUGCAAGUUGAGCGCUGAAGGUUGGUACUUGUACCAACUGGAUGAGCAGCGAACGGGUGAGUAACGCGUGGGGAAUCUGCCUUUGAGCGGGGGACAACAUUUGGAAACGAAUGCUAAUACCGCAUAAAAACUUUAAACACAAGUUUUAAGUUUGAAAGAUGCAAUUGCAUCACUCAAAGAUGAUCCCGCGUUGUAUUAGCUAGUUGGUGAGGUAAAGGCUCACCAAGGCGAUGAUACAUAGCCGACCUGAGAGGGUGAUCGGCCACAUUGGGACGGAGACACGGCCCAAACUCCUACGGGAGGCAGCAGUAGGGAAUCUUCGGCAAUGGACGAAAGUCUGACCGAGCAACGCCGCGUGAGUGAAGAAGGUAGUCGGAUCGUAAAACUCUGUUGGUAGAGAAGAACGUUGGUGAGAGUGGAAAGCUCAUAAAGUGACGGUAACUACCCAGAAAGGGACGGCUAACUACGUG